MicroRNA precursor from Nicotiana attenuata, 121 nucleotides. It matches the Rfam family "MIR397 microRNA precursor family". The record is from Rfam. Lineage: Eukaryota; Viridiplantae; Streptophyta; Magnoliopsida; Solanales; Solanaceae.
CUUAGAAACAUCAUUGAGUGCAGCGUUGAUGACAAUAUCUGUGAAGUCUUUAAUUUGGCAUUUGGACUUUGCCACUUUUUCCAAUUCGUUUUCAUCUGCGCUGCACUCAAUCAUGUUUUUA